RNAcentral lists this ribosomal RNA (265 nucleotides) under uncultured Glomus. RNAcentral describes it as "partial 18S ribosomal RNA". It matches the Rfam family "Eukaryotic small subunit ribosomal RNA", at positions 624 to 886 of the family's 1831-position model. Lineage: Eukaryota; Fungi; Glomeromycota; Glomeromycetes; Glomerales; Glomeraceae. The record is from RNAcentral.
AAGCUCGUAGUUGAAUUUCGGGAUUGACGUGGUGGUCAUGCCUUAAGGGGUAUGAACUGUCACAGUUGAUUUCUCACCUUCUGGAGAAACUUGAUGUCCUUUAUUGGGUGUCUUGCGGAUCCAGGACCUUUACCUUGAAAAAAUUAGAGUGUUUAAAGCAGGCAUUUUUGCUCGAAUACAUUAGCAUGGAAUAAUAGAAUAGGACGGCGUGGUUCUAUUUUGUUGGUUUCUAGGAUCACCGUAAUGAUUAAUAGGGAUAGUUGGG